GAUGAACGCUGGCGGCGUGCCUAAUACAUGCAAGUCGAGCGAACAGACGAGGAGCUUGCUCCUUUGACGUUAGCGGCGGACGGGUGAGUAACACGUGGAUAACCUACCUAUAAGACUGGGAUAACUUCGGGAAACCGGAGCUAAUACCGGAUAACAUGUUGAACCGCAUGGUUCAACAGCGAAAGACGGUCUUGCUGUCACUUAUAGAUGGAUCCGCGCCGCAUUAGCUAGUUGGUAAGGUAACGGCUUACCAAGGCAACGAUGCGUAGCCGACCUGAGAGGGUGAUCGGCCACACUGGAACUGAGACACGGUCCAGACUCCUACGGGAGGCAGCAGUAGGGAAUCUUCCGCAAUGGGUGAAAGCCUGACGGAGCAACGCCGCGUGAGUGAAGAAGGUCUUCGGAUCGUAAAACUCUGUUAUUAGGGAAGAACAAAUGUGUAAGUAACUAUGCACGUCUUGACGGUACCUAAUCAGAAAGCCACGGCUAACUACGUG
This 497-nucleotide ribosomal RNA is filed under the name uncultured bacterium. RNAcentral's name for it is "partial 16S ribosomal RNA". It matches the Rfam family "Bacterial small subunit ribosomal RNA", at positions 28 to 507 of the family's 1533-position model. The record is from RNAcentral.